GCAAACUUGGUCAUUUAGAGGAAGUAAAAGUCGUAACAAGGUUUCCGUAGGUGAACCUGCGGAAGGAUCAUUAUUGAAUUCAAAUUUAUUUUGAAACACUUGUGAAACUUGAAAACAUUUUUUUUGCUUGGGUCUGAGAUAUGGCCCAAGGAUAAACUCUUAAUUAUUUUUGUCUGAAAUUUAUUUUACUAAGAAAUCUUAAAAUUUUCAACAACGGAUCUCUUGGUUCUCGCAUCGAUGAAGAACGCAGC
RNAcentral lists this unclassified non-coding RNA (251 nucleotides) under uncultured fungus. RNAcentral describes it as "partial contains small subunit ribosomal RNA, internal transcribed spacer 1, and 5.8S ribosomal RNA". The stretch from base 1 to 73 matches the Rfam family "Eukaryotic small subunit ribosomal RNA", at positions 1759 to 1831 of the family's 1831-position model. Lineage: Eukaryota; Fungi. The record is from RNAcentral.